Molecule: ribosomal RNA, 473 nt
Filed under: uncultured bacterium
Lineage: Bacteria
Description: bacterial SSU rRNA
Rfam family: Bacterial small subunit ribosomal RNA
Source: RNAcentral
ACUCCUACGGGAGGCAGCAGUGGGGAAUAUUGCACAAUGGGCGCAAGCCUGAUGCAGCCAUGCCGCGUGUGUGAAGAAGGCCUUCGGUUGUAAAGCACUUUCAGUCGUGAGGAAGGUGGUAGUGUUAAUAGCACUAUCAUUUGACGUUAGCGACAGAAGAAGCACCGGCUAACUCCGUGCCAGCAGCCGCGGUAAUACGGAGGGGUGCGAGCGUUAAUCGGAAUUACUGGGCGUAAAGCGCAUGCAGGUGGUUUGUUAAGUCAGAUGUGAAAGCCCGGGGCGUCAACCUCGGAAUAGCAUUUGAAACUGGCAGACUAGAGUACUGUAGAGGGGGUAGAAUUUCAGGUGUAGCGGUGAAAUGCGUAGAGAUCUGAAGGAAUACCGGUGGCGAAGGCGGCCCCCUGGACAGAUACUGACACUCAGAUGCGAAAGCGUGGGGAGCAAACAGGAUUAGAUACCCUGGUAGGAUAGCG